GAUGAACGCUGGCGGCGUGCCUAAUACAUGCAAGUCGAGCGAACAGAUGAGGAGCUUGCUCCUCUGACGUUAGCGGCGGACGGGUGAGUAACACGUGGAUAACCUACCUAUAAGACUGGGAUAACUUCGGGAAACCGGAGCUAAUACCGGAUAAUAUAUUGAACCGCAUGGUUCAAUAGUGAAAGACGGUUUUGCUGUCACUUAUAGAUGGAUCCACGCCGCAUUAGCUAGUUGGUAAGGUAACGGCUUACCAAGGCAACGAUGCGUAGCCGACCUGAGAGGGUGAUCGGCCACACUGGAACUGAGACACGGUCCAGACUCCUACGGGAGGCAGCAGUAGGGAAUCUUCCGAAAUGGGCGAAAGCUUGACGGAGCAACGCCGCGUGAGUGAUGAAGGUCUUCGGAUCGUAAAACUCUGUUAUUAGGGAAGAACAAAUGUGUAAGUAACUAUGCACGUCUUGACGGUACCUAAUCAGAAAGCCACGGCUAACUACGUG
This 497-nucleotide ribosomal RNA is filed under the name uncultured bacterium. Its description in RNAcentral is "partial 16S ribosomal RNA". It matches the Rfam family "Bacterial small subunit ribosomal RNA", at positions 28 to 507 of the family's 1533-position model. The record is from RNAcentral.